Molecule: unclassified non-coding RNA, 343 nt
Filed under: soil metagenome
Description: partial contains 5.8S ribosomal RNA, internal transcribed spacer 2, and large subunit ribosomal RNA
Rfam family: 5.8S ribosomal RNA (bases 1-120)
Source: RNAcentral
GAUGAAGAACGCAGCGAAAUGCGAUAGGUAAUGUGAAUUGCAGAAUCCAGUGAAUCAUCGAAUCUUUGAACGCACAUUGCGCCCGCCAGCAUUCUGGCGGGCAUGCCUGUUCGAGCGUCAUUUCAACCCUCGACCUCCCCUUGGGGAGGUCGGCGUUGGGGACCGGCAGCACACCGCCGGCCCUGAAAUGGAGUGGCGGCCCGUCCGCGGCGACCUCUGCGCAGUAAUACAGCUCGCACCGGGACCCCGACGCGGCCACGCCGUAAAACACCCAACUUCUGAACGUUGACCUCGAAUCAGGUAGGACUACCCGCUGAACUUAAGCAUAUCAAUAAGCGGAGGA